UUGACAGCACCAGAGGCUAAAGUACUGUGUUUAUCCACAGAACAGGCAGAGCGCUGGCUGGAUCAGUGCACUCUCUCUACCUUAACCCUGACCUGGAGGGGCCAGCACUGGAGCUGAAAGGCUAAGUCAGACUCAACCAGCUCAUCAGCCAAGCAUUCU
RNAcentral lists this small RNA (159 nucleotides) under Chrysemys picta bellii (western painted turtle). Its description in RNAcentral is "TUC338 (ENSCPBG00000010865.1)". The record is from RNAcentral. Lineage: Eukaryota; Metazoa; Chordata; Testudines; Emydidae.